RNAcentral lists this ribosomal RNA (753 nucleotides) under uncultured archaeon. Its description in RNAcentral is "bacterial SSU rRNA". It matches the Rfam family "Archaeal small subunit ribosomal RNA", at positions 15 to 766 of the family's 1478-position model. The record is from RNAcentral.
CGGCGGAGGCUACUGCUAUUGGGGUUCGAUUAAGCCAUGCAAGUUGAACGAUUCUUCGGAAUCGUGGCGAACGGCUCAGUAACACGUGGAUAACCUACCCUUAGGACCGGUAUAACCCUGGGAAACUGGGGACAAUCCCGGAUAGGUGAUUUUUUCUGUAAUGAUUUUUCAUUUAAAUGCUCCGGCGCCUGAGGAUGGGUCUGCGGCAGAUUAGGUAGUUGGUAGGGUAAUGGCCUACCAAGCCGGUGAUCUGUACGGGUUGUGAGAGCAAGAGCCCGGAGAUGGAACCUGAGACAAGGUUCCAGGCCCUACGGGGCGCAGCAGGCGCGAAACCUCCGCAAUGCGAGAAAUCGCGACGGGGGGACCCCAAGUGCCACUCUUAACGGGGUGGCUUUUCUUGAGUGUAAAAAGCUUUUGGAAUAAGGGCUGGGGGCAAGACCGGUGCCAGCCGCCGCGGUAACACCGGCAGCUCUAGUGGUAGCCAUUUUUAUUGGGCCUAAAGCGUUCGUAGCCGGUUUGAUAAGUCUCUGGUGAAAUCCUGUAGCUUAACUGUGGGAAUUGCUGGAGAUACUAUUAGACUUGAGGUCGGGAGAGGUUAGCGGUACUCCCAGGGUAGGGGUGAAAUCCUGUAAUCCUGGGAGGACCACCUGUGGCGAAGGCGGCUAACUGGAACGAACCUGACGGUGAGGGACGAAAGCCAGGGGCGCGAACCGGAUUAGAUACCCGGGUAGUCCUGGCCGUAAACGAUGUGGA